Molecule: ribosomal RNA, 253 nt
Filed under: uncultured bacterium
Lineage: Bacteria
Description: partial 16S ribosomal RNA
Rfam family: Bacterial small subunit ribosomal RNA
Source: RNAcentral
UACGAAGGGGGCUAGCGUUGCUCGGAAUCACUGGGCGUAAAGCGCACGUAGGCGGCUUUUUAAGUCAGGGGUGAAAUCCUGGAGCUCAACUCCAGAACUGCCUUUGAUACUGAGAAGCUUGAGUCCGGGAGAGGUGAGUGGAACUGCGAGUGUAGAGGUGAAAUUCGUAGAUAUUCGCAAGAACACCAGUGGCGAAGGCGGCUCACUGGCCCGGUACUGACGCUGAGGAGCGAAGGCGUGGGGAGCGAACAGG